RNAcentral lists this unclassified non-coding RNA (307 nucleotides) under plant metagenome. RNAcentral's name for it is "partial contains small subunit ribosomal RNA, internal transcribed spacer 1, and 5.8S ribosomal RNA". The record is from RNAcentral.
UUUCCGUAGGUGAACCUGCGGAAGGAUCAUUAACGAAUAACUAUGGUGUCUUGGUUGUAGCUGGCUCUUCGGAGCAAUGUGCACGCCCGCCAUUUUUAUCUUUCCACCCGUGCACCGACUGUAGGUCUGGAUACCUCUCGUCUCUCUCUUGAGAGGCGGAUGUGGGGAUUGCUCGUAAGGGCUCUCCUCAAAUUUCCAGGCUCUACGUCUUUUUACACACCCCAAUAGUAUGAUGUAGAAUGUAGUCAAUGGGCUUCUUAGCCUAUAAAGCACUAUACAACUUUCAGCAACGGAUCUCUUGGCUCUC